This 326-nucleotide ribosomal RNA is filed under the name Afroptera papio. Its description in RNAcentral is "partial large subunit ribosomal RNA". Lineage: Eukaryota; Metazoa; Arthropoda; Insecta; Neuroptera; Nemopteridae. The record is from RNAcentral.
ACUGUGCAAAGGUAGCAUAAUCAUUUGUCUCUUAAUUGGAGGCUGGUAUGAAUGAUUGGACGAGGUAGGAGCUGUCUCAUUAUUAUAAUUAUAAUAAUUUAGCUUUUUAGUUAAAAGGCUAAAAUUUUUUUGGAGGACGAGAAGACCCUAUAGAUCUUUAUAAUAUUUAAUUUACUUUUAUUUUGGUUACAAAUUUUUUAGUAUAUUAUUAAUUAUUUUGUUGGGGUGACAUGAAAAUUUAUUUAACUUUUCAUUUAUUUAAACAUGAAUUAGUGAAUAUUCGAUCCAUUUUUAGUGAUUGUAAGAAUAAGUUACCUUAGGGAUAA